CCUACGGGCGGCAGCAGUGGGGAAUAUUGCACAAUGGGGGAAACCCUGAUGCAGCAACGCCGCGUGAGUGAAGACGUAUCUCGGUGUGUAAAACUCUAUCAGCAGGGGAGAAGAAAGACGGUACCUGACUAAGAAGCCCCGGCUAACUACGUGCCAGCAGCCGCGGUAAUACGUAGGGGGCAAGCGUUAUCCGGAUUUACUGGGUGUAAAGGGAGCGUAGACGGCUGUGCAAGUCUGAAGUGAAAGCCCGGGGCUCAACCGCGGAACUGCUUUUGAAACUGUAUAGCUUGAGUACAGGAGAGGCAGGCGGAAUUCGUAGUGUAGCGGUGAAAUGCGUAGAUAUUAGGAGGAACACCAGUGGCGAAGGCGGCCUGCCGGACAGAAACUGACGUUGAGGCUCGAAAGCGUGGGGAGCAAACAGGAUUAGAUACCCUAGUAGUC
Molecule: ribosomal RNA, 441 nt
Filed under: uncultured bacterium
Lineage: Bacteria
Description: partial 16S ribosomal RNA
Rfam family: Bacterial small subunit ribosomal RNA
Source: RNAcentral